RNAcentral lists this small nuclear RNA (103 nucleotides) under Microtus ochrogaster (prairie vole). Lineage: Eukaryota; Metazoa; Chordata; Mammalia; Rodentia; Cricetidae. The record is from RNAcentral.
GUGAUUGCUUCGGCAGUAUGUAUACUAAAAUUGGAAUGAUCCAGAGAUUAGCACGGCCCUGUGCAAGGAUGACACGCAAAUUCAUGAACAUUAAGAUGCGCAG